GACAGAGGUCCCAAGCGUUAGGCGGAAUCACUGGGCUUAAAGCGUGUGUAGGCGGACUCUAAGUACUUGUGAAAUCCCACGGCUCACCGUGGAACUGCUGGGAUACUGGUGUCUUGGGCCAAUACGGUGGAGCGGAACAAGCGGUGGAGCGGUGAAAUGCGUAGAUAUCGCUUGGAACGCCGAAGGUGAAAACAGGCUGCUGGGGUUGUGCCGACGCUGAGACACGAAAGCCAGGGGAGCAAACGGGG
Molecule: ribosomal RNA, 248 nt
Filed under: uncultured bacterium
Lineage: Bacteria
Description: partial 16S ribosomal RNA
Rfam family: Bacterial small subunit ribosomal RNA
Source: RNAcentral